This 76-nucleotide transfer RNA is filed under the name Bacillota bacterium. RNAcentral describes it as "Firmicutes bacterium (anaerobic digester metagenome) tRNA-Val". It matches the Rfam family "tRNA". From Rfam's summary of the family: Transfer RNA (tRNA) molecules are approximately 80 nucleotides in length. Their secondary structure includes four short double-helical elements and three loops (D, anti-codon, and T loops). Further hydrogen bonds mediate the characteristic L-shaped molecular structure. tRNAs have two regions of fundamental functional importance: the anti-codon, which is responsible for specific mRNA codon recognition, and the 3' end, to which the tRNAs corresponding amino acid is attached (by aminoacyl-tRNA synthetases). tRNAs cope with the degeneracy of the genetic code in two manners: having more than one tRNA (with a specific anti-codon) for a particular amino acid; and 'wobble' base-pairing, i.e. permitting non-standard base-pairing at the 3rd anti-codon position. Lineage: Bacteria; Bacillati; Bacillota. The record is from RNAcentral.
GGGCGAAUAGCUCAGCUGGGAGAGCACCUGCCUUACAAGCAGGGGGUCACAGGUUCGCGCCCUGUUUCGCCCACCA